GAUGAAGUAAGCUAAUUAAGCUGUCGGGCCCAUACCCCGGAAAUGAUGGAUAAACCCCCUCCCUCAUCG
RNAcentral lists this transfer RNA (69 nucleotides) under Microdevario kubotai. RNAcentral's name for it is "tRNA-Met". The record is from RNAcentral. Lineage: Eukaryota; Metazoa; Chordata; Actinopteri; Cypriniformes; Danionidae.